This 253-nucleotide ribosomal RNA is filed under the name uncultured bacterium. Its description in RNAcentral is "partial 16S ribosomal RNA". It matches the Rfam family "Bacterial small subunit ribosomal RNA", at positions 524 to 776 of the family's 1533-position model. The record is from RNAcentral.
GACGUAGGGUGCCCGCGUUGUUCGGAAUUACUGGGUGUAAAGGGUUCGUAGGCGGUGCGGCAAGUUGGGAGUGAAAUCUCUGGGCUUAACCCAGAGGCUGCUUCCAAAACUGCUGUGCUUGAGUGUGGGAGAGGCGCGUGGAAUUGCAGGUGUAGCGGUGAAAUGCGUAGAUAUCUGCAGGAACACCCGUGGCGAAAGCGGCGCGCUGGACCACUACUGACGCUGAGGAACGAAAGCGUGGGGAGCAAACAGG